Molecule: ribosomal RNA, 216 nt
Filed under: Glomeromycotina sp.
Lineage: Eukaryota; Fungi; Glomeromycota
Description: partial small subunit ribosomal RNA
Rfam family: Eukaryotic small subunit ribosomal RNA (bases 40-216)
Source: RNAcentral
GGGUCAGUAGGUUGGUCGUGCCAACGGUACGUACUGGUCUCACUGAUUCCUCCUUCCUGAAGAACCGUAAUGCCAUUAAUUUGGUGUUGCGGGGAAACAGGACUGUUACUUUGAAAAAAUUAGAGUUUUUAAAGCAAGCUAACGCUUGAAUACAUUAGCAUGGAAUAAUGAAAUAGGACGAUCGAUCCUAUUUUGUAGGUUUCUAGGAUUGACGUA